This 126-nucleotide ribosomal RNA is filed under the name Fusarium acuminatum. Its description in RNAcentral is "5.8S ribosomal RNA". The record is from RNAcentral. Lineage: Eukaryota; Fungi; Ascomycota; Sordariomycetes; Hypocreales; Nectriaceae.
AUGCCUGUUCGAGCGUCAUUUCAACCCUCAAGCCCCCGGGUUUGGUGUUGGGGAUCGGCUCUGCCCUUCUGGGCGGUGCCGCCCCCGAAAUACAUUGGCGGUCUCGCUGCAGCCUCCAUUGCGUAG